This 73-nucleotide transfer RNA is filed under the name Rhynchobrunnera orthospora. RNAcentral's name for it is "Rhynchosporium orthosporum tRNA-His". It matches the Rfam family "tRNA". Rfam says of the family: Transfer RNA (tRNA) molecules are approximately 80 nucleotides in length. Their secondary structure includes four short double-helical elements and three loops (D, anti-codon, and T loops). Further hydrogen bonds mediate the characteristic L-shaped molecular structure. tRNAs have two regions of fundamental functional importance: the anti-codon, which is responsible for specific mRNA codon recognition, and the 3' end, to which the tRNAs corresponding amino acid is attached (by aminoacyl-tRNA synthetases). tRNAs cope with the degeneracy of the genetic code in two manners: having more than one tRNA (with a specific anti-codon) for a particular amino acid; and 'wobble' base-pairing, i.e. permitting non-standard base-pairing at the 3rd anti-codon position. The record is from RNAcentral. Lineage: Eukaryota; Fungi; Ascomycota; Leotiomycetes; Helotiales; Ploettnerulaceae.
GUGGAUAUAGUUCAAUCGGUAGAGCGACUGUAUGUGGAUCAGUCUGUUCCCUGUUCAAGUCAGGGUAUUCACC